AACGAACGCUGGCGGCAUGCCUAACACAUGCAAGUCGAACGAUGCCUUCGGGCAUAGUGGCGCACGGGUGCGUAACGCGUGGGAAUCUGCCCUUGGGUUCGGAAUAACUCAGAGAAAUUUGAGCUAAUACCGGAUGAUGACGUAAGUCCAAAGAUUUAUCGCCCAAGGAUGAGCCCGCGUAAGAUUAGCUAGUUGGUGGGGUAAAGGCCUACCAAGGCGACGAUCUUUAGCUGGUCUGAGAGGAUGAUCAGCCACACUGGGACUGAGACACGGCCCAGACUCCUACGGGAGGCAGCAGUGGGGAAUAUUGGACAAUGGGCGAAAGCCUGAUCCAGCAAUGCCGCGUGAGUGAUGAAGGCCUUAGGGUUGUAAAGCUCUUUUACCAGGGAUGAUAAUGACAGUACCUGGAGAAUAAGCUCCGGCUAACUCCGUGCCAGC
RNAcentral lists this ribosomal RNA (438 nucleotides) under uncultured bacterium. RNAcentral describes it as "bacterial SSU rRNA". It matches the Rfam family "Bacterial small subunit ribosomal RNA", at positions 29 to 512 of the family's 1533-position model. The record is from RNAcentral.